This 244-nucleotide ribosomal RNA is filed under the name uncultured bacterium. RNAcentral describes it as "partial 16S ribosomal RNA". It matches the Rfam family "Bacterial small subunit ribosomal RNA", at positions 8 to 235 of the family's 1533-position model. The record is from RNAcentral.
AGAGUUUGAUCCUGGCUCAGGACGAACGCUGGCGGCGUGCCUAACACAUGCAAGUCGAGCGAGAAUUUUAGAGCGGAGGUUUCGGCCGAAGCUUUAGAAGGAGAGCGGCGGACGGGUGAGUAACGCGUGAGUAACCUGCCCUAUGGAGGGGGACAACACAUGGAAACGUGUGCUAAUACCGCAUAACAUGUCACUAUCGCAUGGUAGAGACAUCAAAGAUUUAUCGCCAUAGGAUGGACUCGCG